Molecule: unclassified non-coding RNA, 267 nt
Filed under: Hevea brasiliensis (rubber tree)
Lineage: Eukaryota; Viridiplantae; Streptophyta; Magnoliopsida; Malpighiales; Euphorbiaceae
Source: RNAcentral
GGACAAUGAAGAAAGGUAAAUGUGAAUUAAUGGUGAUGAUGUGAAAGAAAAAAUAGAAAGGGUUAGUGUGAAUGCAAGAAAAUUAAUUAAAGACCUUAAUAAUGAAAAGAAAAGAUAAUAAUGAAGAUAAGAUUAUAUAUAUAUAUGUGGAUAAAGGGUUUCCACCACAAACAAACAAAAGUGAGCAACACUAAGUGAUGUAUGACUAUUUCACAAAAUGGCCCAGCUAGGCUUCACGCAUUAACAAAAAACGACAAUAGAAAACAG